This 465-nucleotide ribosomal RNA is filed under the name Vreelandella stevensii. Its description in RNAcentral is "partial 16S ribosomal RNA". It matches the Rfam family "Bacterial small subunit ribosomal RNA", at positions 338 to 795 of the family's 1533-position model. Lineage: Bacteria; Pseudomonadati; Pseudomonadota; Gammaproteobacteria; Oceanospirillales; Halomonadaceae. The record is from RNAcentral.
CCUACGGGUGGCUGCAGUGGGGAAUAUUGGACAAUGGGGGCAACCCUGAUCCAGCCAUGCCGCGUGUGUGAAGAAGGCCCUCGGGUUGUAAAGCACUUUCAGUGAGGAAGAACGCCUGGUGGUUAAUACCCAUCAGGAAAGACAUCACUCACAGAAGAAGCACCGGCUAACUCCGUGCCAGCAGCCGCGGUAAUACGGAGGGUGCGAGCGUUAAUCGGAAUUACUGGGCGUAAAGCGCGCGUAGGUGGCUUGAUAAGCCGGUUGUGAAAGCCCCGGGCUCAACCUGGGAACGGCAUCCGGAACUGUCAAGCUAGAGUGCAGGAGAGGAAUGUAGAAUUCCCGGUGUAGCGGUGAAAUUCGUAGAGAUCGGGAGGAAUACCAGUGGCGAAGGCGGCCUUCUGGACUGACACUGACACUGAGGUGCGAAAGCGUGGGUAGCAAACAGGAUUAGAUACCCUUGUAGUC